GCCGAUCUUCGUAGCUUAGUUGGUAGAACUCCCGACUAGAACUCGGGUUCGAGCCCCGCUGAAGGCA
Molecule: non-coding RNA, 67 nt
Organism: Henosepilachna vigintioctopunctata
Lineage: Eukaryota; Metazoa; Arthropoda; Insecta; Coleoptera; Coccinellidae
Source: the annotation of a GenBank genome assembly